This 75-nucleotide transfer RNA is filed under the name Methanothrix sp. Its description in RNAcentral is "tRNA-Asp". It matches the Rfam family "tRNA". Rfam says of the family: Transfer RNA (tRNA) molecules are approximately 80 nucleotides in length. Their secondary structure includes four short double-helical elements and three loops (D, anti-codon, and T loops). Lineage: Archaea; Methanobacteriati; Methanobacteriota; Methanomicrobia; Methanotrichales; Methanotrichaceae. RNAcentral also lists the same sequence under 1 other name. The record is from RNAcentral.
UGUCCGGAUGGUGUAGUGGCCCAUCAUGAAGGCCUGUCGAGCCUUCGACCCGGGUUCGAAUCCCGGUCCGGGCGU